Molecule: non-coding RNA, 607 nt
Organism: Cinara cedri
Lineage: Eukaryota; Metazoa; Arthropoda; Insecta; Hemiptera; Aphididae
Source: the annotation of a GenBank genome assembly
AACAACGAAAUGAUUGUCUUAAUAACGAACAAGUGUAUAGCCAUUAUAAUUAUUUAUAGUGCGCAGCUUCGAUUUACAUUUUUUUUUUUUUUUAAAUUAUCCAUGUAGAAAAAAACUCUUGUACUAAUCGGUUAUUGGAUAUUUUUCCCGGAAAACAUUUCCCGUUUUGAAGAAGAUUGUAAUAAUCUUAGGAACGAAAAAAAAAAAAGAAGAUAUCCCGGACCACAAAUAAGAUUAUUUAUUACCAGAGUUUUUCGGUAUACCGGAGGGAGAUAAUUUUUUUACCCGCGAUGUUUUGACCGGGUGUUUGCGCUGAAUAACACGACAUAUUGUUUCGCUUUAUUGGACCAUCAUUUGUGUGGUGGCACGGUGCGCGGCGUUUUAAUAAUGUGCCGCUACACACUCUCCCCCGACCCAAGCUUAAAAGCGGAAUGUCUCGUCAACGUAAUCGAAAAUUUCAACACCGAAAUUCGUUUUAACUGAUACUCCGUCAGCUGUUUAUGGAAUUUCCGAUACAGGUUUUCUAUCAAAAGUGGGCGGUGCGGGAAAUUCGCGGCCGAAAACAAGGGCGACAAAAAAAAUAACGCAAACGCGAAAUUAUAGGGCC